Caenorhabditis elegans is the source of this 21-nucleotide non-coding RNA. The record is from Ensembl. Lineage: Eukaryota; Metazoa; Nematoda; Chromadorea; Rhabditida; Rhabditidae.
UGCUUGAUUGUUAAAUUGGAU